RNAcentral lists this ribosomal RNA (489 nucleotides) under uncultured bacterium. Its description in RNAcentral is "bacterial SSU rRNA". It matches the Rfam family "Bacterial small subunit ribosomal RNA", at positions 29 to 504 of the family's 1533-position model. The record is from RNAcentral.
AGCGAACGUUAGCGGCGGGCCUAACACAUGCAAGUCGAACGAGAAAGUCCUUCGGGAUGAGUACAGUGGCGCACGGGUGAGGAACGCGUAGGUAAUCUACCCUCUGGCGGGGGACAACACUCCGAAAGGAAUGCUAAUACCGCAUAAGACCACACGUACCACGGUGCGAGUGGUAAAAGGCGCCCCAAAGCGUCACCAGAGGAUGAGCCUGCGUCCCAUCAGCUUGUUGGUGAGGUAACGGCUUACCAAGGCGAAGACGGGUAGCUGGUCUGAGAGGAUGAUCAGCCACACUGGCACUGGAACACGGGCCAGACUCCUACGGGAGGCAGCAGUGAGGAAUAUUGGGCAAUGGGCGAAAGCCUGACCCAGCCACGCCGCGUGUGUGAUGAAGGCCUUCGGGUCGUAAAGCACUGUGGAGAGGGACGAAAACGCGCAGGAGGAAAUGCCUGCGUCUUGACGGUACCUCUUUAGCAAGCACCGGCUAACUCU